This 729-nucleotide ribosomal RNA is filed under the name Nostoc commune ISB212. Its description in RNAcentral is "bacterial SSU rRNA". It matches the Rfam family "Bacterial small subunit ribosomal RNA", at positions 44 to 806 of the family's 1533-position model. Lineage: Bacteria; Bacillati; Cyanobacteriota; Cyanophyceae; Nostocales; Nostocaceae. The record is from RNAcentral.
AGGAUUGGUAUGCUGGCACGUGACGGGGUUAACGAACUCCUUGCGAGAGUUAGUGGCGGACGGGUGAGUAACGCGUGAGAAUCUAGCUUCAGGUCUGGGACAACCACUGGAAACGGUGGCUAAUACCGGAUGUGCCGGAAGGUGAAAGGCUUGCUGCCUGAAGAUGAGCUCGCGUCUGAUUAGCUAGUAGGUGGGGUAAGAGCCUACCUAGGCGACGAUCAGUAGCUGGUCUGAGAGGAUGAUCAGCCACACUGGGACUGAGACACGGCCCAGACUCCUACGGGAGGCAGCAGUGGGGAAUUUUCCGCAAUGGGCGAAAGCCUGACGGAGCAAUACCGCGUGAGGGAGGAAGGCUCUUGGGUUGUAAACCUCUUUUCUCAGGGAAGAACAAAAUGACGGUACCUGAGGAAUCAGCAUCGGCUAACUCCGUGCCAGCAGCCGCGGUAAUACGGAGGAUGCAAGCGUUAUCCGGAAUGAUUGGGCGUAAAGCGUCCGCAGGUGGCUGUGUAAGUCUGCUGUCAAAGAGCGAAGCUCAACUUCGUAAAGGCAGUGGAAACUACACGGCUAGAGUGCGUUCGGGGCAGAGGGAAUUCCUGGUGUAGCGGUGAAAUGCGUAGAGAUCAGGAAGAACACCGGUGGCGAAGGCGCUCUGCUAGGCCGCAACUGACACUGAGGGACGAAAGCUAGGGGAGCGAAAGGGAUUAGAUACCCCCCUGUUAGGUCAACAAA